UAAAUUAUUAUACUAAACAGGGGAUCUAAAAUGGUGUAUAUAUCUGACAGUUACAGAAGUAGUUAGAGAAGUUUUGCAUACGGAAAAUUUUCUUUAAACCAAUAGAAGUAAAGUAUAUAUAUUUCUCUCAUGAGGACUUUGACCAGUACGGCAACGUACCCCAUAGUUUCCUUCUGCAAAACUCCAAAUGACUUUUCACGGCUGUGUCUGCUACAGUAAUAGAGCUUCAGGCCUUCAAAUCAAACUUG
Molecule: unclassified non-coding RNA, 248 nt
Filed under: Hevea brasiliensis (rubber tree)
Lineage: Eukaryota; Viridiplantae; Streptophyta; Magnoliopsida; Malpighiales; Euphorbiaceae
Source: RNAcentral